AUGGCCUCUGUCCAAUUAGCAGCAUGGGAAUUAGCAGUGCUAGAAAUUCACUGCUCCCCACUGUAUUCCCCUCUGAGAGUGCUGAACUACAGCAUUAAAUUUUCUCUUUCUUUCUCUCUCUCUUUUCAAACAGCACCAAGAAGACGGAAUGCAUAGGCAGCUAUUAGAAAAGCACUGUUAGUGCCCAAGUCAGGAAAUGCAGCUGUUAAAUCCCGAGCCAUACUGGAGCAGAGGUAUUUCAGAUGAAGCUGCCUUACAUCCCUUAACCCUUCCUCCUCUGGGAGAGAUGGAAAUUCUACUGGGAAGCCCUGGCAGGGCUUAGCACUGUCAGCACAUGAGCUCCCUGGCUGCCACCUCCUUAUUGGGCUGGAGGCACACUGAGGCUGGCAGCUGGCAAAAAAAAAAAAAAGAAGAAGAAAAAAACAAACCACAGGAAUCCCACUCCUGAGGAAUCUGGUCAUUUCAAGGUUCCCCUAUAGAUUCACAGGUUUUAAAGGCCGGGAGGGACAAUUACAUUCUGACAAGUACAUUCUGGUGCAACACAGUCCAUUGAAUUUCUCUGAGUGUUGCUGGUGCUCAGGCAGAUGAAAUGAGUUUGUACUCCUUAGUGUGCUCUCCUUAGCUCGUCUCUCAGACAUCCCCCCUUACCGCUUAUUGUCUCCUAUUCAACACAGCAUGUGUGCAUGGGUGUGUUCUCAGGUUUUCCUGAAGCAGCACCCCAACAGCAGCACACAUCUCCUGCAGCUGCCCCUGUUCCAUGCCCAGAGGUGUCUACAACUCUGAGUAUCCCAACUAUCACAGCUAUGAGGGAUGUGGUGCUCCCCAAACUGUUUUCAUUGCAGCUUGCCUUGUGUUACAGUGCAGGGAGCAGGCAGAGCGCAGGAAUCCUCCCCCAAGCCUGGAGAUGGCAGAGCAGAAACAAUGCCUAAAGGAGGGCUGACGCUUGCUGUACAACUGACCUGAAGUGCAUAACUUGUUGGAAGUCAAUAUGCAACAAGUGAGGAUCUGCACCCCUACCAAUUGGAAAGUGCCAGAGCACCUCCAGUUUUACCUGAAAUCUUCAAAUGUGUGUUGUCACCAUAUCAGAGCCUCACCUCUCAGCCAAGCAGCUGUUAUUCCUUUUUUUGGUCUGUUUAUUUACUUGCCUACUCGUUUAGAGCAAAUGUCUUCUAGCUGUUCUAGCUGGGCAGCAAAGCUUGAAGACUCAGGGAGCAAAUAAAAGGAACUCCAACUCUAUUAUUUAAAAAGAAAACAAAAUACAUCUUAUGAUCUGCUAAGCGUGUCUCCCUGUCUGCAGCAGGCCUGGCUGGUGCUUCUGGACUGAUUGGUUGGCAGUGCUGCCAUUUCUAACAGCUUUGCAGCCUUCCCACAGGAGUGGUACGGUGGUUGAUAUGUCUCAGGCUGUGUUUCAGCCUGCUGCUGCCUUUAAAAUGGUUGAAAGUCCUUAGCAUAGGGAGCAGAGGUGCCUAAAAAUACCCUCCGUGUUGUGCCCUCUUUUCCACAGCUGCAAUUCACUCCCCAUUAUAAACAAUGUGAUAACUUAAUUCUGAUGGGUCGACUACGGUGCUUUAGUGUGCUAUAAAACACAAAUUUAGGCAGCGCAUAAAAUAAGCUUUUCCUGCCAUAUGACACAAACCACAACUGUCUGGCAUGGACACACAAGCCAGAAUCUGAAAGAAAGCAAAGCACAAAGCCAGACGCGAUCUUUGAUCAUAUGUUGUUUAAAAUUAACAGCACAGAUCAUAACCACACUUAAAUAACACAUCUGUCUGGGGGGUUAGAUAGUACCGCACAAUAUGUUCUUUUAAUUCAUUAUGCAUUUGAAUCCCUCCCAAGUAACAGGUGGUUUUCUGACAACACGGUGUGCCAAAAAAUGCUGGAGAAAGGGCUGGCUGAUUGUUAUCCUUGGAGGUGAGGAAGCACAGGUUCCUGGAGAGCAGUGAGCUCUGGUUCCCUUAACUCUUUUGCUGCUGGCUCUCCAUCAACUCCUGCAGUAAUUACUGCCCUGCCUGAAUUGUAGCACCUGCCUUCACCUCUCUGGGUUUGCUCUCCAGCUCUUAGACUGUACUGUGGGGCAGAAGCUGUGUCUCAAGACAGGGCAGUAACGGGAGCGUGGCUGGAGCUGUGCUUCCGGAGAUGGGAACCUGCUGCCCAAGGGAUUCUGGAUCACGUUCCAGUGGUGGGACUGAAUGAGCAUGCUCUUCUUCAGAGCAGGUGUCUAACAACCUUAGAGACCCUUUAUGACCACCUGGAAGGAAAUGGCACCUUGAGAGGAGGAAUCCUCCCAGGCCAUAACUAUCCAUCUCAAACAUGACUUGUUUGUCCCCAUGAACUGUGAAGUGAGUGAUGAGCUCAGAUGUUCAUGUUCACACUGCAGACAGGUUUUAGAAGGGUGUGUCCCACCCAAGCUGUUCAUAUACUGCUCAGGGCUGUGUCAACAGAGUCCUGCAUUGCCCCCUGCCCAGAGCAUGAUUUAAGGGCAUGUGGACAAGAGGCUGGGUUCCCCUGCCCCUGCCCCCCACAUGGCGUUCCACUGAACAGUGACCAUCACACGUGGAGAAGAGACUGCACAGAUGAGCCAGCCAUAGCAUGAGGCAUGGACAUGAUUAAUGGCACCUCAUUACACCUGACAGCAACUGCUAAACCUUACGAAAUUAGUCACAUCUUUUAAAAAUCUAGCUGCAGUGUCUGGAGCCCUGUACUGAUGAAUUCCCAGGCUGGCUGCACACUGUGGCCUUGCUUGGGCUGCCAAGGUAGAGCCCAGCUGAAUGGAGAAGGAAGGACUUGUGAGAAGAAUCCUGUCUUCAAUCCUUGCCCAGUGAGGAGUUCCUGUGAGAAAGGACUGGGGAACACGGCCUGUGGCAAGAUCUGCAUCCCAAAUGAAGCUGCAUCUCACACCAGAUGAAAGAGAAAAAAUCACGCGUGCUAAAUGGCUCAGCCUCACAAGGACACUUCCAAAUUGCCUGCUGCUCUGCCAGAUCCAACCCCACAAGAAUGGCUGUGGUGACAAUCCCCCUCUUAUAAGGUCCUGCCCAAGAGACCAGUCCCUUGCUCUACUGCCUCACUCAAGUGGGAAGGGUUCGUUGUGCUUGCAGCUCAUGGAGCUGGAGGGAGCAGCUCCUUGUCUUCGACUUGCCCUGGAUUGGCUCAGGGGUCCCUGCUUCCACAGCCUCCUCUGUUUCCAAAGGGAAAAUGUACAAACCAGUGCCAGAGAAAUAUAUGUGGGGAUCACCUCUUUGACCAUUAGGUCUUAGAGUUAGUACUCUUCUUUCUCAUUCAAUAAAUAUAUACAUUUUUCCUGGUAAACAGGACUAGAUUGUAAAGAGAAGUGAAGGAUGAUAUUACCAACCCAUGUGCCUUACAGAGAGGGUGACCAAGAGCCUUCUGCAUGGAAUAGCAAAUCUCCUCAGGCACAAAUGGGGAGAGAGCACUUUGGGUGAGAUUCCUUAGCUGUUAUGAAAAAUGAAGGAUUUCAGAAAUGUGUCUCCUUUUUCAAGGAACAAAACUAGGACCAUGCUCAGUUCUGCCAGAAAGAAGCAUGCAAAGUGAAGAAGCUCAAUGAAAAAUAUCUAAGCUCUGGAGAGAAGUGGGAUUUUAAAUGUACCCCUAUGCUCCAUCCUCAGGGUUUUCCCAUGUGGAGGCUCCAGAUGGCCGCUUGCUCAGCACACUGGUUUUUGCAGCUCGGAGGUGUGUGUGGGUUAGGGACGAAUGCCAUGAUCUUAAAAACUGUGGGCCUAGCUGUACAUUUCCCUUGUCUGCCUGAUGAGGUGAGGGAGAGGGACACAGGAAUCAGAGCAGCCCCAAGCCCUACCCUUCACGGAUGAUCCCUGCUGGUACCAGGCCCAUGAGAAGACUGGGCUUUUGUCCCUGUGUCAGAUUUGUUGAUGUAAAGUGCCUACCCAGCUCCUGGGCAGUGAGCUUUUAUCUCCACAGGGCUCUCUGCUUCUCCAAGUAGAUGUAUCUGCUCUCCUGCCGUUAGCUCGAGGCUCUCUCAUAUGGCAAGCACCAAGGCACAUACGUGCACCCGGCACAGCUUCUUUCUUGGACCUGGUCCUUACGUUUCAGGGACAACAUGCCAUUUGCUCAUGCACCUCGAGCUCUGCAGGUGAAUCAAGAGUGUGGAGCUGGCCUCUGCUUUCGUUCAGCAUCACUGAGAGGCAGCCAUUCUCUGCAGACAUUGACGCGCUGCUGUGCUAAAUGCACCAAAAAGAAAUGGCUUGAGAGCAGAGAGGACUUAAAACUGUGCAGGUUUGGGGCUUUUUUCCCAUUUAAAAUUUUGUAAUAUUUCACUGCCAGCACUGAAUAAUUAUUUCAAAGGAGGAAUUGAAAAAUGUAUUAUUUUACAGCUUGUAAGUAAACAGAGCAAUGGCUCCAUGCUAUGUAUGGAGUGGCCUGAAGUCCUUGUUUUGUUUCUGUGGGACUUUGAGCAACUGCUGUGUUUAUUUUUUCCUGAUAAUCUCUCUAAUAACAUGGAAAAAGAAGGCACAGACUGUGCCUUUUUUCCUUUCUUUUUUGAGAAUUGAAAUAAUUUGUGUUUCUUUUCUGUGGAAUGAAUUUCCAAGCCAUAAUACCGCACGUUGAGUGUAUCUGGAAAGGAUGUUGCCUUGUUCGAUGAACUGAAUUGUGCACACAGUUGGAGGCUCUGACAGUGCCAGCAUCAGUGAAUGCAAGUUGCAUAAAAAAGAGGCAGCAUCAUUCAUGACACUAAUGAACAGUCCUUCCUCGUCUAUCAGAGAAAUCUUUCCCAGGGAUAACGAUUCUCCUAGCAUUUUCUUAGCCAUAAAAGAAGAGAUUGUGUUGGGUCUUUGGUUCUGCAUGAGACUAUCAGGAGGAUUCUUAGGCUGAGAACAGAAAUCAAUGUUUCUGUGAUACUGUAUUGGCUAAAUACUUAGACCAGAGAAAAAAGAUUUUGUUCUGACUGCACAUUGAACUUCUUGUUUUGCUUUGCUGUUACAAGAUUGUGAAAAUAGUGUGAAAUUUAAGGGUGCAUGUUUGAUUCUGAGAAAGUCUGCCAGCAAGUCUUGGUCAUUUAUUGCAACACAAUGUACCUGAUUCACCCAUAUAAUGCUACAGCUUUAAGUAACUGUAAGUUCAUUGAUUUCAGUGGAAUCUUGAGAGUAAAAGGGAAAAAGUGGUAAUUCAACUUUAAUGUAUUUCCUCAUUUUUCAUCAGGUAUUUAUUAGCCUUUAAGAUUCAUCCACUUUAAAUCUUUCUGAGUACUUGAAAAAAGUCUGCUGAGAUAUGACCAAAACCAAUAUGGAUAGCAGAAGAGGCUCUGGG
This is a long non-coding RNA of Gallus gallus (chicken), 5280 nucleotides long. The record is from Ensembl. Lineage: Eukaryota; Metazoa; Chordata; Aves; Galliformes; Phasianidae.